AUGGGGGACUCUAGCGACGCCGUCAUGGCGCGGUGGCUGCAGUCCGCGGGGCUGCAGCACCUCGCGGCCUCGUCGGCGGGCCCCGCCGGGGACCAACGCGGCGCCGGCGUGGGGGGCCUUGGAGGCGCCGCCGGAGGAGCGGGCAUGCUGCCUAGUCUGCUCAUGCAGGGCUAUGGACCACAGUCAGUUGAAGAGAAACAAAGGCUAUAUAUGCUGUUGAGAAACUUGAAUUUUAACGGAGAAUCUUUGCCUGCAUCAGUCUCUGAGCCCUAUACACCAACUGCUCAGAAAUUUGGCAGUGGGACUUCCGCAGAGGGUCUGUAUUCACCUGAACUUAGAGGUGAACUUGGAGCUGGUCUUCUGGAUCUCCAUGCUAUGGAUGACACUGGACUUCUUUCUGAGGAUGUAGAUUCAGAACCAUUUGAGCCUUCACCCUUUAUGCCAAAGGAAAUUGAUGAUGAUGAGGAUGAUAUGAUAACAGGAAGCCAGCUAGGUCCAGCUGAUAACUAUAAUGCAGUGACGAGUGAAAAGGAGAUCAAUACUAGAGAAAAUAAUGUAGCGAAGAUCAAAGUUGUGGUAAGAAAGAGGCCCCUGAACAGAAAAGAGUUAUCUCGAAAGGAAGAUGAUGCUGUAGCUGUGCAUGAUUCAUCUUCUUUGACAGUUUAUGAACCUAAGCUGAAGGUCGACUUGACAGCUUAUGUGGAGCAGCAUGAAUUUUGUUUUGACGCUGUCCUGGAUGAGGAUGUUUCUAAUGACGAGGUGUAUCGUGAGACAGUGGAACCCAUUAUACCAAUAAUAUUCCAGAGAACAAAAGCGACAUGUUUUGCUUAUGGACAAACAGGUAGUGGGAAGACAUACACAAUGCAACCUUUGCCUCUGAGAGCUGCUCAAGACAUGAUUCGUCUUUUGCAUCAACCUGUCUACCGGAAUCAAAAUUUUAAGCUGUGGCUCAGCUACUUCGAGAUAUACGGUGGGAAACUCUAUGAUCUUCUAUCAGACAGAAGACACUUACUGAUGAGGGAGGAUGGCAAGAAACAAGUUUGCAUAGUCGGUCUGCAGGAAUUUGAGGUUUCUGAUGUCCAGGUUGUCAGGGAAUAUAUUGAGAGGGGAAAUGCAGCAAGGAGCACAGGGUCUACAGGGGCCAAUGAAGAGUCAUCGAGGUCACAUGCCAUUCUGCAACUGGCUGUGAAGAAGCAUAUUAUAGUAACUGAAACUAGGAGACAAAGGGACAGGGAUGCCAAUGAAGCUAAAAACACAAAGGCAGUGGGAAAAAUAUCUUUUAUUGAUCUUGCUGGAAGCGAACGUGGCGCUGAUACAACAGAUAAUGAUAGGCAGACAAGAAUUGAAGGUGCAGAGAUAAACAAGAGCCUCCUUGCUCUGAAGGAAUGCAUCCGGGCCCUUGACAAUGAUCAGAUACACAUUCCUUUCAGAGGAAGCAAGCUCACAGAGGUUCUCCGUGACUCAUUUGUUGGCAACUCUAGGACGGUGAUGAUUUCUUGCAUUUCUCCCAAUGCAGGUUCAUGUGAACACACGUUAAAUACGUUGAGAUAUGCCGAUAGGGUUAAAAGUCUUUCAAAGGGUGGCAACACAAGAAAGGAGCAGUCUACUGCACCAACUAUUCCUUCCAUGAGGGAGUCUUCAUCUGCUCCAUCCUAUCCUUUAUCUGUUGAGGCUGAAGAAGUACCCAACCAGAUCCAGGAGAAGAGACCUGUCGAUAUAUCUAGGAGAGGCGCUGAAAAUUUUACCUCCAACUCUUCGAUGGAGCCUGACAGGAAUAACUUUAGUAUGAUCCCAAGUUAUUCUAAUAGAGGAAAAGAGGAAAACGGUGCAUCUGGUUUGAAUGAUAGGGAGAGGGUUGAUUUCAGUUCUGGCCGAACUGUUUACAACAGUAAAGCACAGUUAAUUCAGAAUUCAGCAAAUGCACAAGAGGAUGAAAAGGUUACGAGAGUCUCACCUCCCAGGAGGAAGGUCAUAAGGGAAGACAAGUCUGAAAAGCAGAACUACAUGAAAAAGGAUAGUGGAAUCGAGGCAAGUCGGCCUGGAUAUAAGGUGCAGCAGGUAAGGCAGUUGCAACAGCAGCAACGACCAACAUCUGCUUCAGCUUCUCAGGUUUCAAGGCAAUCUGAAAAAGAAAGUUCAUGUGAUGAUGUGGAGAUAGAUGCCAUUCUCGAGGAAGAGGAGGCCCUCAUUGCAGCUCACAGGAAGGAAAUCGAGAAUACAAUGGAGAUCGUGCGCGAAGAGAUGAACCUUCUGGCAGAAGUUGACCAACCAGGCAGCCUUAUUGACGACUAUGUGACACAAUUGAGCUUUCUUUUGUCACGCAAGGCUGCAGGCUUGGUCAGCCUCCAAGCACGCCUUUCAAGGUUUCAACAGCGCCUCAAAGAGCAGGAGAUCCUUAGCCGGAAGAAAUCAUCCAGAUAG
This 2421-nucleotide ribosomal RNA is filed under the name Triticum aestivum (bread wheat). Its description in RNAcentral is "partial small subunit ribosomal RNA". Lineage: Eukaryota; Viridiplantae; Streptophyta; Magnoliopsida; Poales; Poaceae. The record is from RNAcentral.